UGCAAGUCGAACGAGAUCUUCGGAUCUAGUGGCGCACGGGUGCGUAACGCGUGGGAAUCUGCCCUUGGGUUCGGAAUAACAGUUAGAAAUGACUGCUAAUACCGGAUGAAGUCUACGGACCAAAGAUUUAUCGCCCAGGGAUGAGCCCGCGUAGGAUUAGCUAGUUGGUGGGGUAAAGGCCUACCAAGGCGACGAUCCUUAGCUGGUCUGAGAGGAUGAUCAGCCACACUGGGACUGAGACACGGCCCAGACUCCUACGGGAGGCAGCAGUGGGGAAAUAUUGGACAUGGGGGCAACCCUGAUCCAGCAAUGCCGCGUGAGUGAUGAANGGCCUCGGGGUCGUAAGCUCUUUUACCGGGAUGAUAUGACAGUACCGGGAGAAUAGCCCCGGCUACUCCGUG
RNAcentral lists this ribosomal RNA (401 nucleotides) under uncultured bacterium. RNAcentral describes it as "bacterial SSU rRNA". It matches the Rfam family "Bacterial small subunit ribosomal RNA", at positions 56 to 507 of the family's 1533-position model. The record is from RNAcentral.